RNAcentral lists this ribosomal RNA (1782 nucleotides) under Triticum aestivum (bread wheat). RNAcentral's name for it is "partial small subunit ribosomal RNA". The record is from RNAcentral. Lineage: Eukaryota; Viridiplantae; Streptophyta; Magnoliopsida; Poales; Poaceae.
AUGGCGAAGAAGGCCGCAAAGCGAGCUGUUGGUGAAGCAAGGGGUCGGGCAUAUGAGGACCUCUACCAACGGUUAGGCACGAAGGAAGGUGAAAGGGACAUCUAUAAGAUGGCUAAGAUCCGGGAGAGGAAGACGAGGGAUAUUGGCCAAGUCAAAUGCAUCAAGGACGGAGCAGGCCAACUCUUGGUGAAGGACGAAGAGAUUAAGCAUAGAUGGCGGGAGUACUUCGACAAGCUGUUCAAUGGGGAGAAUGAGAGUUCUACCAUUGAACUGAAUGACUCCUUUGAUGAGACCAGCAUGCGUUUUGUGCGGCGCGUCCAGGAGUCUGAGGUGAAGGAGGCUUUAAAAAGGAUGAAAGGAGGCAAGGCGAUGGGCCCUGAUUGUAUCCCCAUUGAGGUGUGGAAAGGUCUCGGGGACAUAGCGAUAGUAUGGCUAACCAAGCUUCUCAACCUCAUUUUUCGGGCAAACAAGAUGCCAGAAGAAUGGAGACGGAGUAUUUUAGUACCAAUCUUCAAGAACAAGGGGGAUGUUCAGAGUUGUACUAAUUACCGUGGAAUUAAGCUGAUGAGCCAUACAAUGAAGCUAUGGGAGAGAGUCAUUGAGCACCGCUUAAGAAGAAUGACAAGCGUGACCAAAAAUCAGUUUGGUUUCAUGCCUGGGAGGUCGACCAUGGAAGCCAUUUUCUUGGUACGACAACUUAUGGAGAGAUAUAGGGAGCAUAAGAAGGACUUGCAUAUGGUGUUCAUUGACUUGGAGAAGGCCUAUGAUAAGAUACCGCGGAAUGUCAUGUGGUGGGCCUUGGAGAAACACAAAGUCCCAGCAAAGUACAUUACCCUCAUCAAGGACAUGUACAAUAAUGUUGUGACAAGUGUUCGAACAAGUGAUGUCGACACCGAUGACUUCCCGAUUAAGAUAGGACUGCAUCAGGGGUCAGCUUUGAGCCCUUAUCUUUUUGCAUUGGUGAUGGAUGAGGUCACAAGGGGUAUACAAGGAGAUAUCCCAUGGUGUAUGCUCUUUGCGGAUGAUGUGGUGCUAGUUGACGAUAGUCGGACAGGGGUAAAUAGGAAGUUAGAGUUAUGGAGACAAACCUUGGAAUCGAAAGGGUUUAGGCUUAGUAGAACUAAAACCGAGUACAUGAUGUGCGGUUUCAGUACUACUAGCUGUGAGGAGGAGGAGGUUAGCCUUGAUGGCCAGGUGGUACCUCGGAAGGACACCUUUCGGUAUUUGGGAUCAAUGUUGCAGGAGGAUGGGGGUAUUGAUGAAGAUGUGAACCAUCGAAUCAAAGCCGGAUGGAUGAAGUGGCGCCAAGCUUCUGGCAUUCUCUGUGACAAGAGAGAGCCACAAAAGCUAAAAGGCAAGUUCUACAGGACGGCGGUUCGACCCGCAAUGUUGUAUGGCGCGGAGUGUUGGCCGACUAAAAGGCGACAUGUUCAACAGUUAGGUGUGGCGGAGAUGCGUAUGUUGAGAUGGAUGUGUGGCCACACGAGGAAGGAUCGAGUCCGGAAUGAUGAUAUACGAGAUAGAGUUGGGGUAGCACCAAUUGAGGAGAAGCUUGUCCAACAUCGUUUGAGAUGGUUUGGGCAUAUUCAGCGCAGGCCUCCAGAAGCUCCAGUGCAUAGCGGACGGCUAAAGCGUGCGGAGAAUGUCAAGAGAGGGCGGGGUCGACCGAUUUUGACAUGGGAGGAGUCCGUUAAGAGAGACCUGAAGGAUUGGAGUAUCGACAAAGAGCUAGCUAUGGACAGGGGUGCGUGGAAGCUUGCUAUCCAUGUGCCAGAGCCAUGA